RNAcentral lists this ribosomal RNA (525 nucleotides) under uncultured bacterium. Its description in RNAcentral is "bacterial SSU rRNA". It matches the Rfam family "Bacterial small subunit ribosomal RNA", at positions 355 to 897 of the family's 1533-position model. The record is from RNAcentral.
UGGGGAAUAUUGGACAAUGGACCGAGAGUCUGAUCCAGCAAUUCUGUGUGCACGAUGAAGUUUUUCGGAAUGUAAAGUGCUUUCAGUUGGGAAGAAAGAAAUGACGGUACCAACAGAAGAAGUGACGGCUAAAUACGUGCCAGCAGCCGCGGUAAUACGUAUGUCACGAGCGUUAUCCGGAUUUAUUGGGCGUAAAGCGCGUCUAGGUGGUUAUAUAAGUCUGAUGUGAAAAUGCAGGGCUCAACUCUGUAUUGCGUUGGAAACUGUAUAACUAGAGUACUGGAGAGGUAAGCGGAACUACAAGUGUAGAGGUGAAAUUCGUAGAUUUUGUAGGAAUGCCGAUGGGGAAGCCAGCUUACUGGACAGAUACUGACGCUGAAGCGCGAAAGCGUGGGUAGCAAACAGGAUUAGAUACCCUGGUAGUCCACGCUGUAAACGAUGAUUACUAGGUGUUGGGGGUCGAACCUCNNCGCCCAAGCAAACGCGAUAAGUAAAUCCGCCUGGGGAGUACGUACGCAAGUAUGA